Molecule: ribosomal RNA, 359 nt
Filed under: uncultured eukaryote
Lineage: Eukaryota
Description: LSU rRNA
Rfam family: Bacterial large subunit ribosomal RNA
Source: RNAcentral
CUCUCAGCUUAUCAUGCGCAGCUUAGGUGGGAGGCUAUGAACCUUUUCUUCUGGGAAGAGGGGAGCCAUCAGUGAGAUACCACUCUUGGUAAGCUAGAGCGCUCAGUCUUCACCGUCAUCCGGUAAGACGACAGUUUCAGGCGGGCAGUUUGACUGGGGCAGUCACCUCCCAAAAGGUAAUGGAGGUGUGCAGAGGUUCCCUCAGGCUGGACGGAAAUCAGCCAUAGAGUGUAAAAGCAUAAGGGAGCUUGACUGCGAGACUGACAUGUCAAGCAGAGACGAAAGUCGGCUUUAGUGAUCCGACGGUGCUGUGUGGAAAGGCCGUCGCUCAACGGAUAAAAGUUACUCUAGGGAUAACA